Molecule: ribosomal RNA, 756 nt
Filed under: Bifidobacterium pseudolongum
Lineage: Bacteria; Bacillati; Actinomycetota; Actinomycetes; Bifidobacteriales; Bifidobacteriaceae
Description: bacterial SSU rRNA
Rfam family: Bacterial small subunit ribosomal RNA
Source: RNAcentral
CUCAGGAUGAACGCUGGCGGCGUGCUUAACACAUGCAAGUCGAACGGGAUCCCUGGCAGCUUGCUGCCGGGGUGAGAGUGGCGAACGGGUGAGUAAUGCGUGACCGACCUGCCCCAUGCACCGGAAUAGCUCCUGGAAACGGGUGGUAAUGCCGGAUGUUCCACAUGAGCGCAUGCGAGUGUGGGAAAGGCUUUUUGCGGCAUGGGAUGGGGUCGCGUCCUAUCAGCUUGUUGGUGGGGUAACGGCCUACCAAGGCGUUGACGGGUAGCCGGCCUGAGAGGGCGACCGGCCACAUUGGGACUGAGAUACGGCCCAGACUCCUACGGGAGGCAGCAGUGGGGAAUAUUGCACAAUGGGCGCAAGCCUGAUGCAGCGACGCCGCGUGCGGGAUGGAGGCCUUCGGGUUGUAAACCGCUUUUGUUCAAGGGCAAGGCACGGUCUUUGGCCGUGUUGAGUGGAUUGUUCGAAUAAGCACCGGCUAACUACGUGCCAGCAGCCGCGGUAAUACGUAGGGUGCAAGCGUUAUCCGGAUUUAUUGGGCGUAAAGGGCUCGUAGGCGGUUCGUCGCGUCCGGUGUGAAAGUCCAUCGCUUAACGGUGGAUCCGCGCCGGGUACGGGCGGGCUUGAGUGCGGUAGGGGAGACUGGAAUUCCCGGUGUAACGGUGGAAUGUGUAGAUAUCGGGAAGAACACCAAUGGCGAAGGCAGGUCUCUGGGCCGUUACUGACGCUGAGGAGCGAAAGCGUGGGGAGCGAACA